UAAAUAAAUACACCACAGCAAUAAUAAAUUGCGUAUCAACGCAUCUUUAAUGAAUACAUUCUCUGGUGUGUAUAUGAUGAAUAAUCGUCGUUCUGUUAAAUACUGGUCAUGGGUGAGCGCGUUUUCUUUUUCCCUGUUGUUUUGGGGGGAGCUCAUCCGGAUAUGGUUGUUCUAAUCAAUGAAAACCUCGCCCAGGCGAGGUUUUUUGCUUUU
Kluyvera intermedia is the source of this 213-nucleotide non-coding RNA. The record is from Rfam. Lineage: Bacteria; Pseudomonadati; Pseudomonadota; Gammaproteobacteria; Enterobacterales; Enterobacteriaceae.